Unclassified non-coding RNA from Papio anubis (olive baboon), 148 nucleotides. It matches the Rfam family "Metazoan signal recognition particle RNA". From Rfam's summary of the family: The signal recognition particle (SRP) is a universally conserved ribonucleoprotein. It is involved in the co-translational targeting of proteins to membranes. Lineage: Eukaryota; Metazoa; Chordata; Mammalia; Primates; Cercopithecidae. The record is from Ensembl.
GCUGGGUGUGCUGGCGCAUGCCUGUAAUCCCAGCUACUCGGGAGGCUGAGGUAGGAGAAUCGCUUGAGCCCAGGAAGUGGAGGUUGCAGUGAGCCAAGAUUACGCCACUGCACUCCAUCCUGGGAAACAGAGCAAGACUCCAUCUCAA